CCUACGGGAGGCUGCAGUGGGGAAUAUUGCACAAUGGGGGAAACUCUGAUGCAGCGACGCCGCGUGAGCGAUGACGUGUUUCGGUAUGUAAAGCUCUAUCAGCAGGGAAGAAAAUGACGGUACCUGACUACGAAGCCCCGGCUAACUACGUGCCAGCAGCCGCGGUAAUACGUAGGGGGCAAGCGUUAUCCGGAUGUACUGGGUGUAAAGGGAGCGUAGACGGUCCUGCAAGCCAGAUGUGAAAGCCCGGGGCUCAACCCCGGGACUGCAUUUGGAACUGUAAGGCUAGAGUGUCGGAGUGGCAGGCGGAAUGCAUGGUGUAGCGGUGAAAUGCGUAGAGAUUA
This 344-nucleotide ribosomal RNA is filed under the name uncultured bacterium. RNAcentral describes it as "partial 16S ribosomal RNA". It matches the Rfam family "Bacterial small subunit ribosomal RNA", at positions 338 to 699 of the family's 1533-position model. The record is from RNAcentral.